AAGGGUGCGUAGGCGGGCUACCAAGCUAGGGGUUAAAGGCAUAGGCUCAACCAAUGUAAGCCUUUGGAACUGGUAGUCUUGAGUGCAGGAGAGGUAAGUGGAAUUCCUAGUGUAGAGGUAAAAUUCGUAGAGAUUAGGAGGAACACCGGUGGCGAAGGCGACUUACUGGACUGUAACUGACGCUGAUGCACGAAGGCGUGGGGAGCAAACAGGAUUAGAUACCCUGGUAGUCCACGCCGUAAAC
This 244-nucleotide ribosomal RNA is filed under the name uncultured bacterium. RNAcentral's name for it is "partial 16S ribosomal RNA". It matches the Rfam family "Bacterial small subunit ribosomal RNA", at positions 563 to 807 of the family's 1533-position model. The record is from RNAcentral.